Molecule: ribosomal RNA, 253 nt
Filed under: uncultured bacterium
Lineage: Bacteria
Description: partial 16S ribosomal RNA
Rfam family: Bacterial small subunit ribosomal RNA
Source: RNAcentral
UACGAAGGGGACUAGCGUUGUUCGGAAUCACUGGGCGUAAAGCGCACGUAGGCGGAUGUGUCAGUCAGGGGUGAAAUCCCGGGGCUCAACCUCGGAACUGCCUUUGAUACAGCACGUCUCGAGUCCGGAAGAGGUGGGUGGAAUUCCUAGUGUAGAGGUGAAAUUCGUAGAUAUUAGGAAGAACACCGGUGGCGAAGGCGGCCCACUGGUCCGGUACUGACGCUGAGGUGCGAAAGCCAGGGGAGCAAACGGG